Molecule: ribosomal RNA, 720 nt
Filed under: Cytobacillus firmus
Lineage: Bacteria; Bacillati; Bacillota; Bacilli; Caryophanales; Bacillaceae
Description: bacterial SSU rRNA
Rfam family: Bacterial small subunit ribosomal RNA
Source: RNAcentral
UGCAGUCGAGCGGACGGAUGGGAGCUUGCUCCCUGAAGUCAGCGGCGGACGGGUGAGUAACACGUGGGCAACCUGCCUGUAAGACUGGGAUAACUCCGGGAAACCGGGGCUAAUACCGGAUAACUCUUUUCCUCACAUGAGGAAAAGCUGAAAGAUGGUUUCGGCUAUCACUUACAGAUGGGCCCGCGGCGCAUUAGCUAGUUGGUGAGGUAACGGCUCACCAAGGCCACGAUGCGUAGCCGACCUGAGAGGGUGAUCGGCCACACUGGGACUGAGACACGGCCCAGACUCCUACGGGAGGCAGCAGUAGGGAAUCUUCCGCAAUGGACGAAAGUCUGACGGAGCAACGCCGCGUGAGUGAUGAAGGUUUUCGGAUCGUAAAACUCUGUUGUCAGGGAAGAACAAGUACCGGAGUAACUGCCGGUACCUUGACGGUACCUGACCAGAAAGCCACGGCUAACUACGUGCCAGCAGCCGCGGUAAUACGUAGGUGGCAAGCGUUGUCCGGAAUUAUUGGGCGUAAAGCGCGCGCAGGCGGUUCCUUAAGUCUGAUGUGAAAGCCCCCGGCUCAACCGGGGAGGGUCAUUGGAAACUGGGGAACUUGAGUGCAGAAGAGAAGAGUGGAAUUCCACGUGUAGCGGUGAAAUGCGUAGAGAUGUGGAGGAACACCAGUGGCGAAGGCGACUCUUUGGUCUGUAACUGACGCUGAGGCGCGAAAGC